RNAcentral lists this long non-coding RNA (280 nucleotides) under Panax ginseng (ginseng). RNAcentral's name for it is "long non-coding RNA (PGIN_LNC019015)". The record is from RNAcentral. Lineage: Eukaryota; Viridiplantae; Streptophyta; Magnoliopsida; Apiales; Araliaceae.
CCAUGGGCUCCUGAACCGAAGCGAGAAGCUUUGUAGUGCGCUAGCGCCCUUCCGUUUUGAAGCAGGGUCGGAUCCACUUCUUCCGGGUAAACUAUUAGUGCUUAGAUGGCUCUGGACGGACUAGAUCUUUUACUAGAACGACUCCCGUGGGGUAUGGAUAUUCGACUGAAGCUACUGGUCCCAGAGACAUUUGUUGGUGUGCUUCGACGCUCCCCUCAACAACCUAUCUAGUUAACGGUCCCGUUCUCUACAAUCAUAAGCCCCAUCCCUAGAACAAAAU